AGUCGAAACCGGGAACUUUCCCGGUCCGCCGGAAUUAGCCUACCGGCGCUGAUGAGACAGGCUAUA
RNAcentral lists this non-coding RNA (66 nucleotides) under Aeribacillus pallidus. RNAcentral also lists the same sequence under 1 other name. The record is from RNAcentral. Lineage: Bacteria; Bacillati; Bacillota; Bacilli; Caryophanales; Bacillaceae.